UCCUCACUCACCCUUACUGCCGAUAGCCCUUUCCCUCACUCAUUGUGCCGAUCGACCGACAAUUCUUCCCUUACUCACUUCCUAUUGACCGACAUCCCUCUCCCUUACUCUAACUCACUUGGGCUCUCUCUCCCCCUUCUCGUCUCUCUCUCUCGCUCGCUCUCUCUCACUCGCUCGCUCUCGCUCGGUCUCUCUCGCUCGCUCCUUCGCUUUCUCUCUUGGAUUUCUAUUGCUUCUCUCUCCUUAACUCUUCUCAAAGUGUUUACAUUUGGUGGGAUUAUCGGGACAUUCGUUCUUCUUCCAGUUAAUUAUCUUGGGAAGCAGCUCAGCAUUGAUGAUUUUUAUGAUCUACCAAAGAAGUCUUUGGACUCUUUCAGUAUCUCCAAUGUUGACAACGGUUCAAACUGGUGAUUUGCAUCUGGAGAAUGUAUACUAUUCAGAAAUGAAAGAUGCUGGUUUCUUUGAUGCUGAUUGGGAGUGAUGCAGUGAUAUUCUGGCCGGAUGACUCUGUAUAUUAAAGUAACUUCCAGAUGGCAAAAAUUUCUGUACUUGAAGAGAUGCUUGUUCGUUGCUUGCUGGACUCGUUCUUUUACAAUAGAUGUAGUGUGCCUCUGGCACUUGGAACGCUUUGUUGUGUACCAAUUAGGAACUGGUUAGACCGCAUUAAAAAAUAUAACUCUGUAUAAUACAGAAUAAGGGAAGCAUAAAGGUAUAUUUUAUGAUAUGAAUUUGAUACUAUUUGGAUC
This is a long non-coding RNA of Manihot esculenta (cassava), 746 nucleotides long. RefSeq lists it as uncharacterized. The record is from RefSeq and is a predicted model, not a curated record. The transcript has 3 exons. Lineage: Eukaryota; Viridiplantae; Streptophyta; Magnoliopsida; Malpighiales; Euphorbiaceae.